Molecule: ribosomal RNA, 254 nt
Filed under: uncultured bacterium
Lineage: Bacteria
Description: partial 16S ribosomal RNA
Rfam family: Bacterial small subunit ribosomal RNA
Source: RNAcentral
UACGAAGGGUGCAAGCGUUACUCGGAAUUACUGGGCGUAAAGGGCUCGUAGGCGGCCAACUAAGUCAGACGUGAAAUCCCUCGGCUUAACCGAGGAACUGCGUCUGAUACUGGAUGGCUUGAGUUUGGGAGAGGGAUGCGGAAUUCCAGGUGUAGCGGUGAAAUGCGUAGAUAUCUGGAGGAACACCGGUGGCGAAGGCGGCAUCCUGGACCAACACUGACGCUGAGUGAGCGAAAGCCAGGGGAGCAAACGGG